CCGUUGAGGUGAUGAUACACCAAUUCGCAUAGUUCAUCUGAUUAUUAUGAUGACAAAAUGUAGCACAAAAGUCUUUCGCUCCCAUCUGAUUCAACAA
RNAcentral lists this small nucleolar RNA (97 nucleotides) under Microdochium bolleyi. Its description in RNAcentral is "Small nucleolar RNA snR60/Z15/Z230/Z193/J17". It matches the Rfam family "Small nucleolar RNA snR60/Z15/Z230/Z193/J17". Rfam says of the family: The members of this family belong to the C/D class of snoRNAs which contain the C (UGAUGA) and D (CUGA) box motifs. Most of the members of the box C/D family function in directing site-specific 2'-O-methylation of substrate RNAs. Lineage: Eukaryota; Fungi; Ascomycota; Sordariomycetes; Xylariales; Microdochiaceae. The record is from Rfam by way of RNAcentral.